CUCCUGUUAACCAUGGACUCACCAUGGACUGCUAUCCCUCCUGUUAACCAUGGACUCACCAUGGACUGCUAUCCCUCCUGUUAACCAUGGACUCACCAUGGACUGCUAUCCCUCCUGUUAACCAUGGACUCACCAUGGACUGCUAUCAAGUUUGCCUUACAAAACCUCUCUGAAAUGAUGUAUAGUUGUUUUUUUGUACUCUAUAUUUUGUUUGUAGCGCAUAGCCGAUUUUUACAUUUUGGGAAUGUGUCCGUUUUUGUCCAUCGAAACAGUCUACCUUAAUAACACCCCAUUCUGUUACCUAGACUCACAAGUGCCCUAGAAAUCCCUGUUUGUCUACGAAAAAAGGAAUUGUCUUUGAUUCUCAGUGGAGAUGGUAUUUGUGUGAUGCUCAGCACAAAGAGGAACAAGUUUUUUUUAAAUUUUUUUAAGAGGAUUAGAUCCUUUAUAAUUUAUCCUUUUUUAUGAAGGUAGAAUUGUAAUUCUGGAUAGCAUCUAAUGCAUUUACUAAUGUAUCAAUUAGACACCAUUUUUGGUUGAUGUCUCACAUGCAACAUCUGAAAUGUUAUUAUCAGUAUGGUAUGGAAAUGCAUCUGUGUAGAAUUUUUUUGUUGUUGUAAAGGACUAAGGACGAUAAUACCUUACAAUGGCUCAAAUGGCAAAGAUGGACAACUUUCUCAAAAUGCUUCAGUUUGUAGGAAUGAGAGACAUGGGCGCUUUGGCCAGUGGAUGGAGUGAAAUGGAUAGCAUUAGAUAAUUGUGAAUGUGCAUGGUGGAAGACUGAUCAAGUUGUAUUUUGAAAAAGCAGUAUGGGUAGUAGGGUAGAAGAUGGUAAAAUUGCACAGAAGUAGUUGAGUCAGCGUACUGUUAACUGAGUUACAGGAGAAGUUGGAAAGAACUAUUGAAAACUUUGGAAGGAAACAGAUUCAGCACAUCUUCAUUUCAUUCCUUUUUGUUUGUUAUGUAUAGAUUAAGAGUACUUAUGGAUGUUGGGCAACUGACAAAAUGUUGCCAUCAGAUAUGUGAGUGGGAAGAGAGACUAAGUAGGGUCGCGUUGAAAUUGGAGAAUAGGAAGAACAUACACUAUUGAUAUAGUGGCCAAAUGUAGCUGCCUUUAUCUUGAUGAGACACUAUGGUCCUUCUAGUGAGAAAGCAUUCAUAUGGUAUCGAACACUUAUGUCAUGCUCAUUCAAUAACCUCUAAAUUAGGUGUGGAAGGGAUAGAAGUUUGAAACAAAGAGCAUGUUGGUUUCUUUUAGUUAUGCCAGUGAUCACCAUGGUGAUGCUGUCUGUAACACAGUCCUCUGGGAUAUCUCCCACUUACCUCUAGGACAUCGAUGUCCUUCAUUACUUGAAAACGCAUUGGAUUAAGGCAAUAGCUAGGCAGUUACCUUUUUUAAAAGUUUUUUAUUCCCAUUUUGAAAGGAUUCUUUCAAAUCAAGAGAACACCGUGAACAUUUCCUCUUCUCCAAGCAUAAUAUAAACUGCAGAAUUAGAGCUUUCUUUGUUAUUAGAAUUUGUUGAAAAUAAAUGGCUACAAUUUUCUCAAAAAAAGUAAGCAUGUAAAAAAGCGGUACAUCAUAUUAAAUGGAUUAAACAAGAUUCAUUCAUCUCAUGACGUUUAUAGUCAUAAAUUACAUUUGAUCACCAAAACAAACACCUCUUGAAAUUGACAGAAUUAUGUCAUCUUCAAUGUCCAGAUUCAUGCGUGAAGCACACUAUUAAGUUCUUCCAUGAUUCCAACUGCUGCAUGUCCGUCCUAUCUCUAUGUAGACAAAAUGUUUCUUAGAGAAGAUAGCAUGUCUGACCAUGUUAAGAUUCUUGAUUUUUAUAGCUUCUAGGCUAUGUUUAUGGCUUCAUUAUUCAUUUGUUUAUGUUGUACAACUACUACUACGUUGACAAGAUUUACAUGCUUAUUCAAAUUCUUGAACCAAACUGUCGGUCCCACUUUUCUGCUAUUCGACCCUCAGGUUGUGUGGCCCAUGUUGUCUGGUCCUGACUUGUUUGAUUACGUUUGUCACUCUUGUGCCUCUGAAGUUAGUUAAGGCUUAGUAACUUGUUCAAAACAAAGCAAACUGAUAUGGGUUGACUUUAUUCUCUAACAGUAUUUGGCUUCUUUGAAAUACUUCAGAGACAAUGUAGACCCACCAAUUGCUUUCUUUUGUCUGUCUUCUCUUCCUCUUCAAGGACAGUUACUGAGUUGACCCUCCAAAAAGACUAUAGAGGGAUGCACUGGUGUUGUCUCCUUAGUGGAUAGUAAUGUCCACACUAUUUUUGUCUGCCUUCAUGUAUUACUUGAUUAGCCGUUAUCAGACAUUGAACAGCUUACCUCAAGAUGUUAUGUCUCGCAAUGAUUUUUACCCAAACCAGUGCAUUUUAUUGAUAUAUUGGACCUCAUUGGAGAGUAAAUGUGAUACAUAUUAUGCAACUAUUUUUGUCACUUUUUUUUCUUCUUCUUUGAUUUGAUGGUUUUAUGACUCGACUGCUUCUUGACAGCCACCCAUUGGAUGGGGCAAUGCAAGUAGGAAUCCUGGGUGGCGCACUGGUCUAAGGCACUACAGACCCGGGUUCGAUCCUGGGUCUGUAUCACAAACUGCCAUGAUUGGGAGUCCCACAAGGCGGCGCACAAUUGGCCCAGUUUUGUCCGGGUUAGGGGAGGGUUUGGCCGGGGUAGCCCGUCAUUGUAAAAUAAGAAUUUGUUCUUAACUGACUUGCCUGGGUAAAUAAAGGUUAAAUUAGGAUAUUGAAUCAUGGUAUUUCCAUUAAAGAAAUGCCUCGAUAGGCAACCAAAGGAGAGAAAUGUCUUGGACCGGAAGUUGUUUUAGAUCCACAUCAUAAAGUAACUUAUUUAUGAGACUUCUGUGUAUUUCUUCAUAUACUGUAUGUCACAUGGCUGGUCAAAAUUGUUAUAGUUAAAGAAUGUUACCUUGUAAACUGCGAAACUCAGCUCCUCUAUUACCACCAAAUACAAUCCUGACUGACACUUUGUCGUGAUACAGACGGGCAUACUAAACUGUGUCCUUACAAAACCAUUGAGCGAAAACCAAGUCCUUGAAAAAAAACGGUAUGUUGAUUUGAUCGGGAUGUAGUUUUAGUUGUCGUCUGUAUAACCCCCCCUUCUACAAAAUGAACAGAUUUAAGAUAAUCACGAAUUAAAAGUUGUGGCUUAGGCAUUUUAUAGGCUAGUUUGUAUGCAACCCCUUUAGUUGUGUGUGUGUGUGUGUAUAUAGCUUGUUCUCUGUACUGCAACAUGUCCUAAGAAUAGGUGGUGGAAGAAGAUUGUAUUUUGUGGACAAGGAUUGCUAUGCCAUAAAACUUAACAAUGUUUUGAUUACUUUUAUAGUACAGUGAGUAGGCAUAGAGUUCUGUGUUUUUAAGUGUGUUCGUGUGUGAUGAUUUGGGCAGUUAGCUGUCAUGUCUUCAUUAGUGAGUAUGAGGUCAAGAGUGUGCGACGGUAAUAUGAACCGCUAUCAGAAAAAGGGCAAAGAAAAAGUGUGUAUUCAUUCCUGUCUAUUGUAUUUCUUUACCCACUUCCUGGUUCAUAAAUGCCGUAAAGAAUAUUGUUUCUUUUUUUUCUUAUUAACGUGAAAUACAUUUCCUUUGAAACACAAGUGAUGUACGUAAGAUUCUGGUGCAAUGGCCUGUAACAGUUUUUGGUUGACUCCUUUUAAAUUUGAUUGUUCAUUUGAGCAUAUUUGAAAAUAAAUGAUAACGUAAGGUUAGGCUUACUGCUUUCUAGUACAGUAUCCUAUGUGCUAUGUGGGGUAGCCUAAUAUGCAUUAACAGACCUUUUGAAUGACAUUUAAAGCACUGGUGUAAUUGAACGCUUGACGUUGGUGGUUGGUAGUCCUUUUAUUUUGGUUCUGGAUAUAUUAGCGUCUUAUUCAGGAGGGCGUCUCGGUUUGAUUCAAAAUCAUUGGACAUUGCUUUGUAUUACGCUAGGAUUUGUUUACUCCAAUAGACCAGCCAAGCAAAAUGUAACACAAGCCCGGUCUACGGGCUACAACCUUGAAUUAUUAUGUGCUUUGACUGUCCAUAUUGCCUCUGCUAGAAUUUCAUUGGCUUCUUGUUUCGCUGCAAUUUUUUUUCACCGUCUUGGAAGUUUCGGGUUAAAGUUAGUAAUUGGUCAAAAAGUUGAAUGUUAGGCAGAUAUUUUAACCACUAAUAGUCCCUAUCUGGUUGUAGUCCGUAGAAGGGAUAAAAUAUGCCAAGCCGAUGACUUCCCAUGUGACUUCAGCAUGAACUGUAGGUGAUCAUGAAAGUGUUAUUGUGCUUCAUUUAGGCCAAACUAUAAAUUAGGAGGUUGAAAGUGUGGAAGUGCAUGAAAUGCUUUCUCUUUGGCACCUUAGGCUCUGUUUUGAAGUACUGCUGCCUGGUGAAGAGCUUGAGCAUGCCUGCAUUCAGUAUUUUCUAGAGCGUUCAGUAAACAUUUCUUAUAAGUUUUAUUAGCGUGUGAUUUUUGAAUCCAUAUUACCUCAAAAAUAUAUCAGUUACAAUUAAUACAUUUAAAUUAAAACAAAUGGUCUCAC
Molecule: long non-coding RNA, 4528 nt
Filed under: Salmo salar (Atlantic salmon)
Lineage: Eukaryota; Metazoa; Chordata; Actinopteri; Salmoniformes; Salmonidae
Description: lncRNA (ENSSSAG00000108464.1)
Source: RNAcentral